ACUCAAAUGAAUAGACGGGGGCCCGCACAAGCAGCGGAGCGUGUGGUUUAAUUCGACGCAACGCGAAGAACCUUACCAGGGUUUGACAUGGCGCUUAUAACCAUCGAAAGGUGGGGCCCGCAAGGGGUGCGUCACAGAUGCUGCAUGGCUGUCGUCAGCUCGUGCCGUGAGGUGUCGGGUUAAGUCCCGUAACGAGCGCAACCCCUGUGGCUAGUUGAGUGUCUAGCCAGACUGCCGCGUAAGUUGGAGGAAGGCGGGGAUGACGUCAAGUCAGCACGGCUCUUACAUCCUGGGCUACACACACGCUACAAUGGGCGCGACAGAGCGAUGCGAAGCCGCGAGGUGGAGCUAAUCGCAGAAAGGCGUCCUCAGUUGGGAUUGCAGGCUGCAACUCGCCUGCAUGAACGUGGAGUUGCUAGUAACCGCCGGUCAGCACUACGGCGGUGAAUACGUUCCCGGGCCUUGCACACACCGCCCGU
This 479-nucleotide ribosomal RNA is filed under the name uncultured bacterium. RNAcentral's name for it is "partial 16S ribosomal RNA". It matches the Rfam family "Bacterial small subunit ribosomal RNA", at positions 899 to 1397 of the family's 1533-position model. The record is from RNAcentral.